UGCAAGUCGACGGUAACAGGAAGAAGCUUGCUUCUUUGCUGACGAGUGGCGGACGGGUGAGUAAUGUCUGGGAAACUGCCUGAUGGAGGGGGAUAACUACUGGAAACGGUAGCUAAUACCGCAUAACGUCGCAAGACCAAAGAGGGGGACCUUCGGGCCUCUUGCCAUCGGAUGUGCCCAGAUGGGAUUAGCUAGUAGGUGGGGUAACGGCUCACCUAGGCGACGAUCCCUAGCUGGUCUGAGAGGAUGACCAGCCACACUGGAACUGAGACACGGUCCAGACUCCUACGGGAGGCAGCAGUGGGGAAUAUUGCACAAUGGGCGCAAGCCUGAUGCAGCCAUGCCGCGUGUAUGAAGAAGGCCUUCGGGUUGUAAAGUACUUCAGCGGGGAGGAGGGAGUAAAGUAAU
Molecule: ribosomal RNA, 408 nt
Filed under: Escherichia coli
Lineage: Bacteria; Pseudomonadati; Pseudomonadota; Gammaproteobacteria; Enterobacterales; Enterobacteriaceae
Description: bacterial SSU rRNA
Rfam family: Bacterial small subunit ribosomal RNA
Source: RNAcentral